Molecule: ribosomal RNA, 253 nt
Filed under: uncultured bacterium
Lineage: Bacteria
Description: partial 16S ribosomal RNA
Rfam family: Bacterial small subunit ribosomal RNA
Source: RNAcentral
UACGUAGGGGGCAAGCGUUGUCCGGAUUUAUUGGGCGUAAAGAGCGUGUAGGCGGCCACACAGGUCUGCUGUGAAAACUCGAGGCUCAACCUCGAGCUGUCGGUGGAAACCGUGUGGCUAGAGUCCGGAAGAGGAGAGUGGAAUUCCCGGUGUAGCGGUGAAAUGCGCAGAUAUCGGGAAGAACACCCGAGGCGAAGGCGGCUCUCUGGGACGGUACUGACGCUGAGACGCGAAAGCGUGGGGAGCGAACAGG